Molecule: unclassified non-coding RNA, 199 nt
Filed under: plant metagenome
Description: partial contains small subunit ribosomal RNA and internal transcribed spacer 1
Rfam family: Eukaryotic small subunit ribosomal RNA (bases 1-46)
Source: RNAcentral
AAGUCGUAACAAGGUUUCCGUAGGUGAACCUGCGGAAGGAUCGUUAGUGAAUUUGAGAGCGUGACUUUCGGUUAGCUCAACCUUCAUUUCCAACUCUGUGCACUAUUGGCGGACUGGGAGCAAGUAAUUGCUAUUCAAGUCUGCGGCUCACUAUUAAACAUUAGUUAAAGUAUGUAUAUAAAAAACAAAAACAAAAAAA